This 474-nucleotide ribosomal RNA is filed under the name uncultured Mesorhizobium sp. RNAcentral's name for it is "bacterial SSU rRNA". It matches the Rfam family "Bacterial small subunit ribosomal RNA", at positions 1 to 520 of the family's 1533-position model. The record is from RNAcentral. Lineage: Bacteria; Pseudomonadati; Pseudomonadota; Alphaproteobacteria; Hyphomicrobiales; Phyllobacteriaceae.
AGUACGCUAUAGAGUUUGAUCAUGGCUCAGAACGAACGCUGGCGGCAGGCUUAACACAUGCAAGUCGAGCGCCCCGCAAGGGGAGCGGCAGACGGGUGAGUAACGCGUAGGAAUCUACCCAUCUCUACGGAACAACUCCGGGAAACUGGAGCUAAUACCGUAUACGUCCUUACGGAGAAAGAUUUAUCGGAGAUGGAUGAGCCCGCGUUGGAUUAGCUAGUUGGUGGGGUAAUGGCCUACUAAGGCGACGAUCCAUAGCUGGUCUGAGAGGAUGAUCAGCCACACUGGGACUGAGACACGGCCCAGACUCCUACGGGAGGCAGCAGUGGGGAAUAUUGGACAAUGGGCGCAAGCCUGAUCCAGCCAUGCCGCGUGAGUGAUGAAGGCCCUAGGGUUGUAAAGCUCUUUCAACGGUGAAGAUAAUGACGGUAACCGUAGAAGAAGCCCCGGCUAACUUCGUGCCAGCCGCCGCGG